UUUGUGCCCGCCCCCAAUCCCGUGGGCCUUUGCGUGAAAGUAUUUAAGCGUCUCGCGUCGUUUUAUUCGGUCUCAUUUUUCCUUCCAGGCUCCGGGUCAAGACGCACAUUCGCCACACAACAAUCGAAGACAGCCCUCUGGUUGGAGUGUGCCUUAGCUCAAAGAUGUGUGGUGUCUGGAGAAUGCACGGAGAUCAUUCCUGCGAUUACAGCGAUCCUCCAUGUAGAGAUCGAACCCAGGGGCACUUAACCAGUCCUAUUUUUGUCUACGCAUCUCAUGACCUAUCCUGAGGAAUUUGAUUAUCCCCAAGAGUAAAUGCAGGUUUUCCUGAUAACGACAUAUUUUCCCAUUUUAUGGAGCAACUCAUUUCUACAUACUGCUGAAAAUACUCUGCUCAGCAUUAGCAGGUGCUGUUACCAAUAUCUACUUACUGGUUCAAAGGUCUAGCAUCUUGUCUGGAACCCAGGAGUUAUUUGAGAGAAAGCAAGUCAUGUCUGCCUAACUUCAACCUGAAGUUAAAGGUAAGUGGACUAAGGUGAAGGUAAAGUACAGUAAGCUAAAAAUUUCCCAAUGAAGAAACAUUUCACACGUCUUACUUCCUGUCCUAGUCCCAGAGCCUGUAAAGGUGAACCCACUGGGGCUGGCUGGGGGAGAAGAGGAAAGCUUGUUCCAGAAGGAACUGUCUGAGGGAUGAUCAGAAUUUCUAUAAAUGGAAAAUGGAAGAAUGAUCAGUUAGAGAUCAAACUGUUUUUGUUUUCCCAUCCAGUAAAGAUUCUUCUUUCCUCAGCAGGCAUCCAUCCAAGUCUUGGAGGACAUCAGAUUUCCAGAUCUUUUCUUGUGCAUCCUAGCUGUUCAAGUUAACACACAAUCAA
Molecule: non-coding RNA, 872 nt
Organism: Ictidomys tridecemlineatus (thirteen-lined ground squirrel)
Lineage: Eukaryota; Metazoa; Chordata; Mammalia; Rodentia; Sciuridae
Source: RefSeq, a predicted model, not a curated record